This 1104-nucleotide long non-coding RNA is filed under the name Canis lupus dingo (dingo). RNAcentral describes it as "lncRNA (ENSCAFG00020015387.1)". Lineage: Eukaryota; Metazoa; Chordata; Mammalia; Carnivora; Canidae. The record is from RNAcentral.
UGGUCUCAGUUACAGUUUUGAUACUGAGUGGCGGAUCUGUGGGGUUUGGGUGUUGUCGGGUGUUGUCGUCGUUCCCACCCCCAGGCUGUGGACAGCUAGAUAAACAGAAAACAGCUAUUUGUCCCCAUUGAUAGGCCUGUGUUAGUCUGAGAAGGUUUGACUUUUUUUUUUUUUUUUUUUUUUUGAGCUCAGGACUGGUUGGUGGCCCUUGACCCGGUGUCUGCACUUGGCUAGGAUCUGGAUGCUGCCAGCCAUCCUGCAAAAGGGAGGAGCAUGCUGCUCUAGCUCCUAGGAUCUAGAAAAGGAAGGAGAGGCUUGGGACAGGUCUGUUCCCACCCCACCCCCCACCCCCAUGCCCCUCCAGAGAAGGAGGCGGUUUUAAGACCAGUUCAAAUCAUUUUGGCCAGGGACUCACUAUUCCCCCCCCCUCCCCCGCUCCCCACCACCCCACCCCGGGAGGUGAUCUUGAUGUGCAAUUAUUUUAACAUUGAAGACAAGUUUUAAAUAAAAGCUGGCAGUACUGGUUGUUGCAGAAGUGGACUUGAAUUCCUAAGGCUGGCAGGACAAGUAGAGCCUUCCACAAUUGUGAUUGAUAAUGUUUGUAGUCAGUUUCUCCCUUCUGUUUUCAAUUUAGGGUAUGUCGCGCACGUAGUAGCGUGUUGGAAGUUCAUGAAGUUCCUUUAGGAAGAGCUUGAAGAUGCCUUCUUGUCAUCAUAGCGGCUCUGCUUCAUUGACAUUUUAUGGAGACUGGAGAGGAGAGAGUCUUGUACACCCUGGGAGCUGGCAGCAGAGGACGCCUCGGAGCAGCCUGGAGGUGUACCUUUGCAGUGCUCUUAAGCAGUACGCCUUUCUCCGCCCCUGCUUCUUGCAGGGGGCCCUGAAGACUGAGUGCAGGACCCACUGGCGGACUGUUGAGUUGAUGUUUUAUCUGGGCAAGUGUGACUUUCCUGAACUGCACACCCUAUGGAAACUUUUUGUUCUUGCCCUUAAAAAAGCCUGAAAUAAGCAAAUACUCAGACCAGCACAACUGCCAUCAUUACCACCACCACGCACACCUCUCUGAUGUGUAAUAAAAGAGACCUGCAGGCGUAAUUUGUUAUGUAA